Molecule: ribosomal RNA, 267 nt
Filed under: uncultured bacterium
Lineage: Bacteria
Description: partial 16S ribosomal RNA
Rfam family: Bacterial small subunit ribosomal RNA
Source: RNAcentral
GUCCACGCCGUAAACGAUGAGUGCUAGAUGUUUCUGGUAUUGACCCCGGAGGUGUCGUAGCUAACGCGUUAAGCACUCCGCCUGGGGAGUACGGCCGCAAGGCUAAAACUCAAAGGAAUUGACGGGGGCCCGCACAAGCGGUGGAGCAUGUGGUUCAAUUCGACGCAACGCGAAGAACCUUACCUGGGUUGGAACCCUCCAGAAGUCCGCAGAGACGCGGAUGUGCUCGCAAGAGAGCUGGAUGUCCAGGUGCUGCAUGGCUGUCGU